GUGGGUCUCGGUCUUCCCGGGGAUCACGGGGUAUUCAGCUGCUGUGGAGGUCUGCAAACCCGCCGCUCUCCGCCCUGGGGGAUGCCAGGGAGCAUUUGUCCACAAACUGCCGACCACCUGGAAAUCUCUCUUCGCAGUCUCCCCACUCUUCCAGUUCCACGCGGAGAACUGGUCUCUAGGGCAAGCAUUACGUUUAGCUUAGCAUCCUCCUAAAGAUGCUGUUGAUGAAGACAACGAUAGCAAAAAUCAAGCCAUUUAGAGCCAAAGUACCCCCAAAUAGAAUGGAUGAAGCUGUACAGCACACCUAGCUUUCAUUGGACUCAUAUUGGCCUUAAAUCUUCAUAAAAUUGCCAUAUUCGUGAAAGACUUACAGCCUUUGAGCUUAACAAACUGAGAUUAAGUGGGACUCUCUGUUGGCAUCUUGAUGAUUUUCUUUUAUAUAUGGAAAAGGUAACCCUAAAACCAAAAGGAAAUUUAACUGCUUGCCUACCUGUCUGUUUGCCGGUUUUUCAAUUUAACGAGCAUUUAUCAAGACCCUUAUCCUCACUUCAAGAAGCAGCAGGGAUUAAUUAGUAUCUGUGAAUCCCAAAUCCCAGCAGAAAGAACCUUAUUGGUCUAGCUUAUGUCAGGCUGUCUAUUCUUGGUAUAGUCACCUUUAGCCAGUGGAGCAGUAUGUAGUCAGGGCUCUUUGUUUUGUAAUGUAAACAUGGCUGUCAGAGGCCCAUCCUUGUAGCCUGCAGUUCUCAAAGAAGGUUGGUUAUGUUCUUGGCAAAGUUUCCAAAAGGUAUAUACCACCGACCAAAAAAGGAGUAAAUUACAGCCUGAAAUUCAAAAGUGUAAAGAACAAUGGACGUGAUCAAGAAUUUUCCAACAAACUCCCACUCAAACUAUUUCAGGCCUAAAUUUCAAUGGCAUUCCCUCAAAGAAGCCAUUGCUGAUCCUCAGCCGCAAUUAAAAUUAUGUUGCCCCAUUUUUAUC
Long non-coding RNA from Equus quagga, 978 nucleotides. RefSeq lists it as uncharacterized. The transcript has 3 exons. The record is from RefSeq and is a predicted model, not a curated record. NCBI's taxonomy places the organism in Eukaryota, Metazoa, Chordata, Mammalia, Perissodactyla, Equidae.